This 85-nucleotide transfer RNA is filed under the name Felis catus (domestic cat). It matches the Rfam family "tRNA". Rfam says of the family: Transfer RNA (tRNA) molecules are approximately 80 nucleotides in length. Their secondary structure includes four short double-helical elements and three loops (D, anti-codon, and T loops). The record is from Rfam by way of RNAcentral. Lineage: Eukaryota; Metazoa; Chordata; Mammalia; Carnivora; Felidae.
GCCCUGGUGGCUCAGUUGGUUGGGUGUCCGACUUCAGCUCAGGUCAUGAUCUCACGGCUUGUGGGUUCGAGCCCUGCUUAGGGCU